GAAAUCCGUCGACUUUUAAAAUCGUGAGGGUUCAAGUCCCUCUAUCCCC
Molecule: transfer RNA, 49 nt
Filed under: Castilleja sulphurea
Lineage: Eukaryota; Viridiplantae; Streptophyta; Magnoliopsida; Lamiales; Orobanchaceae
Description: partial tRNA-Leu
Source: RNAcentral